Molecule: long non-coding RNA, 2848 nt
Filed under: Solanum tuberosum (potato)
Lineage: Eukaryota; Viridiplantae; Streptophyta; Magnoliopsida; Solanales; Solanaceae
Description: long non-coding RNA (STUB_LNC002437)
Source: RNAcentral
UUGUUGAUUUGAUCUAACUAACAGAAAAAAGGGGAUCCUAUCGGAGCAGCCAUGGUACUGCAAAAUUGGUAAGGAUCGUUGCUAUUACUGCUACUUCGGGAGGAGUCAUAUGUUCUCAGUUUAUUUAGUAGUGCAAAAAUUGAUAAGUUACUUGAGCUAUUAUUAUAUUGUCGCAAUUGGAUUACGUUUAUCGUUUUGUUCCAUUUGAAUUUCAUAUUUGCCCUUGACCAGGAACUAUCGAGGCAUUAUUUUGUUAGUAGAACUACUAAUAAAGAACCAUUUUACUUAAUAGAAAAUAUUUUGUUGCCAUUGGAACUUGACCGAGUUGGAAACCAGUUUUAACAAAUUAGUAAUAUGCUUUCUAUCUUACUGCGGUGAGUUGUUAUAUCGUUGGACAUUAACAAUUUUGAAAUUUAGAUUUUAAAGACGGUGAAACUGACGAACACACGCUUCUGCUCAAGUAUAAGUAUCUGUUAGUUCUCUGUCAUUGUUGUUUUAGAACUUUUUCUACUUUAUGUGUGAUAUUUUAAAACUGAUUCAGCCUAUACUUCAAAAUUUUAUGUACUUUGGUCUCAAUAUUGCAUCUUACAAAUUUCUACUGUAGUUUAGAGCAAUGCUUGUAGAAUUUAUAGAUUUUUUUCUACAAUAUAGUCAUUCAUGUAAAUAAAUAAUUUGGAAUGUGGUGAUUUCUCCUGCAGUAUCAUCAUUCAUGUAAAUGCUUUGUACUUCUUGCUUUGGUGAUUCCUCCCUGUUCCUUCAAAAAGAGAACAAAAAGCGGAAUGACAUGAGAGAUUUUGAAAGUCUCUUUAUAUGGCAAAAUUCUAAGCUCUACUACAGCUUGGAUGGAUACCUCCAUUCGAGAAUAGAUCAUAGUGUAAGUAUGUUACUUUCAAGUCCAUUUUUUACCGUUAAUACAAAAUUUCUUGCCUGCAAUAGAAACCACUGUGAGGAUAUCUAUACGUAGUUUCAAAUCCGUGUCACAGAUAAAUUUAACAUUGCUUGUAAUUCGAUCCGUGAGAUAUUGGGUUGUUGCUAACCUACCCAAAUCCAAGUUAUUGUGUACAUUAUAGACAAAUAAAAGGUAACUGAUUAUUCCACUAUUCAAUAAUCUAUAUCCAAGUUAUUAGGAUUUGUUGCUAACCUACCCAAAUCCUAAUAAUCUAUAUCCUCCUGAAAGAAAAGAGUAAGAAAUAAAGACACAAGAAAAUGCAUAUAGCUAAAUUCUUUAUAUCUUGCCAAGAUAUUAGUUUAUGGUGUCUUAAAACUCAGUAUCUAAACAAUAUCAUACAAAGCAAAAUACAAAUAAAUAGGUACAAAUGCACAUACACAGUAAACAACAGAACAUCAACAAAGAGUAGAAAAUUAAUCUCAUAAACUGGAAAUGAAAGACAAAAGACAAUACCAUGUUAUUGACCUAAAAAGUAUUACUUGUAAUUGGCUUAGAGCUUUUAGGCAAUGUUGCUUCAAUACUUGACAUGCAUAUCAAAUGAUCUUUGAAAUUAUGCAACAUAUCUCCAUUUGGUGGACAUCCAAGUUGACAAAGUGAAUAUGAAUCUACACUUCAAAAAGUUAUUUCUCACUCUUUGAUGAACAUAGGAAAAUUAGUACACCACAAAAUGCCAUAAAUUCAUAAAUCUGUGUCAAAUUGCAAUAGAAAAAGCAACCUAAUAGAUGAUUACAACAACCUGAGAUAUUGUUAAACUCAAAUAUCUUCCAAAAUGUACUAGACUAUACUAGAGCUUCUGGAAUAUGCUUCUUUUAAGUUUUUUCCUUAACAUGUAAGAUACUUCAUUUGCAAUCUAAACAUUAGUAGAACAUGUUAACCAAAUAGAGAAUCCUCACAGUCAUAGGUCUCCUUAGCAAAUAAUCCUAAUGUCUCAUUUUGGCCUUUAGUUUUGUUAUACCUGAUGAAAUAUUUACUGAAAUAUACAGGUCGGGUUCUUUGUUCUCUCUUAUUUAUGAUUGUCGAGUCAUCAUUAUGCAUUGUUUUAUUAACUUGCUCUAUCUUAGGAUAAUUUUCAGUUAUUACUUCAGGCUUCUUUAUUAUGUUUAUGAAUCUUUCUUUGUUUUUGUGUUUGUUCUUGAUAAAUUAAGUUUAUUGGGAUUUCUGGAGAGAAUUACACUCUUAUUAUGCUCAUGAUAGCUCUUUUGUUAUUAUGUUCCUUAAUUGUCUUGCUGGAAGUUUGCCACGAUAACAAUCCUUUGAGUUUUAUACCCUGACCGCCUGAUGCCAUCUCAAUUAUUUUUGAAAGAGAAUUAACCUAUAUUAAGAAGUCUAGAACAUGUGGUUUGAAUCAAAGGCACAUAAGAAAAGUCACAUUACCAAUACAAGAGUUAUCUUAUUAGUUGAGUUAUUGAUACCUUUAUUUAUUAAGAAUAUAGAUAUUUUUGAUGAAUGGAAAGCUUUUAGAAGAAAAGCAACUCUUCAGUCAAGAUUAUUACCAAAAGAACAAGGAGGAGUGCAUCCACAAAUUCAUGAUACAAGAUCGUUGUGGAAGUUCACAACUUUGCUGUUCUGUAUGUCUGUAAUGACAUGGAUGAACAUGAUUAUCCCUUUGUGUGCGAGUCUCUGCAACUCACAAGAAAAUUAUGAUCAAUCCUUGAUCUAUAUGCAAGAACUACUUUAGUCAAUUUUGUUAAUUAAACCUUUCACGAAAGAUAAUUCAAUUUCUUACUUGCUGAUUUUUCCUUCUGGUUCAUUUGGAUUUUUAAGUGUCGAAUGAAAACAUAUCUCUAUUUGAUAGAGGCAAUCAAGAUGUGGGACUAUACUGGAUAUGUUAUUGUUGACAGAGGUGAUCAAGUUGAAAAGUGAACAUAUUGGUAGAGCUUUUUUCUAAAAAUAAUAGAU